UACAGAGGGGGCAAGCGUUGUUCGGAAUUACUGGGCGUAAAGGGCGCGUAGGCGGCCUGCUAAGUCGAACGUGAAAUCCCUGGGCUCAACCCAGGAACUGCGUCCGAUACUGGUUGGCUUGAAUCCGGGAGAGGGAUGUGGAAUUCCAGGUGUAGCGGUGAAAUGCGUAGAUAUCAGGAGGAACACCGGUGGCGAAGGCGGGUCUCUGGGCCGAUACUGACGCUGAGAAGCGAAAGCGUGGGGAGCGAACAGG
This 253-nucleotide ribosomal RNA is filed under the name uncultured bacterium. RNAcentral describes it as "partial 16S ribosomal RNA". It matches the Rfam family "Bacterial small subunit ribosomal RNA", at positions 524 to 776 of the family's 1533-position model. The record is from RNAcentral.